AAGAGCAUGGUCCACUUGUUCAGCGGGCUGCGUUAGUUUAGGUGUUGAGUUUGAGGGAGAAGCUGGAGAGCUGUGGAGUUCCACUCCAGGGGUGAUAAAAGCAUGAAACAGCUUAUGUAGGAUCAGAGCCAGCAUCCCCUGUCUUCUGCAAUGGCCAAUGACAGAUGCUGCAGAAAAACGUAAGAACAGGGUGAGUAGAGGAAGAUCCAUCUCCAGUAGAUUUUCCAGCAUCCAUUCAUCUGAGGUUUAGGGACUUUUAGAGCUACAUAUGAGGUGUUAGUAGUUAACAGUAGUUAAGUAGUGACUUAAUCUUGCUAAAGCAGAAAGGGUUGCUAAUGACAGGAGAGCUCUGUAAUCCCCCAGCAUGCUGCCCUGACAUCCUGCAGAGCAGACUCCAAACUGUUUACCUUUCUGUUAAUUGGUUUGUUUGCAUACAGCCUGUUCCAGGGAAGGGAAGGACUGCUGACCAUCCUGUCUCUGCAGGAUUCCUUUUUGAGGUCUAGCUCCCUGGCAUUAAAUGCUUUGAUCCCAAAGGAUCCUCAGUUAUACAUAAUUUAAUCAUCCGAUGGAUCCUGCCAACUGGUGUCUGGUCAAGAGAGCGUGGUAACUGCUCUGCAGCAUGUGGUGAUGCUGCUCUGAAAUCCAGGCCCUGCCAGGAAGUAGAGGAGCACAGUGGUCAAGAAAAGAAACACCAAGAGUUUCAGGUGCAAAAGAGUAUGUAUUUCCCAGGAGUGAGAAGUACCCAGUCUUCUAUCAUAAUCAGAACAGCUCAGCCAUCUAUGUUGGCGGAGAAGGAAAGCUUUAUUACUACGACUUUGCAACCUAUGAGAACCACACGGUAAGGAUGCUCUGCUAACAAGUUUACCUUUGGAGCCCUAAAAGAAAGUGUCCAGCAUUCGUCUCUCAGCCCAAACGCUAGAUACCUUGCUCAGUGUCUUUGCCAGAAGCAAAGUCAGGCCUAGAAUGGUCUGGACUCUGCCCAGCC
RNAcentral lists this long non-coding RNA (985 nucleotides) under Buteo japonicus. Its description in RNAcentral is "lncRNA (ENSBJAG00000004090.1)". The record is from RNAcentral. Lineage: Eukaryota; Metazoa; Chordata; Aves; Accipitriformes; Accipitridae.